GUGACGCGAGGGUGGGCCCGUCCAGCCCCGCCCCCAGGCGCCAUGGAGCGCAGAGGGGGCGGGGCUCGAGCGGCUCCAGGUGCGCGCGGCUUCCGACGGUCGUGCCUGGCGGCAGACCCGUAAACUCUCUACGUGGAGGGGUUCCGAGAUCUUCCGGGUCCGCACGUUGGCAGAGUGACGCCCCCCAAGCUCCACGGAGACAGGAGCUCCGGCGCUCGGGGCGCCCCCGGGCCUCGCCCUCCACCGCUCUCUCUGGCUGUUCGUGCCUUUCUGAUAAACGGCAGCUCACGCAGACUAAGACAGUCCAGCAUUUGCAAGGGAGAGAAUCCAUCCUGCUCUGCGUGCCACAUGGGGAGAUGCCAGGGGCCACUGGUGAGAUGUGGAUUGCCGUCCUUCAGCUCAGGUGCCCACCUGCAGUGGGAGAUGCAGACAAAUGAAUGAGAUGCGGCCACCCAUCCCAGGAGGACUUAGAACUGCCACAUGAUCCAGCAGUUCCACUCGUGGGUAUCUAUUCAAAGAAAGUGAAAACCCUAAUCUGAAAAGAUACACGCACCCCAACGUUCAUAGCAGCGCUAUUUACAAUAGCCAAGAUAUGGAAGCAACCUAAGUGUCCAUCAGGA
Molecule: long non-coding RNA, 620 nt
Organism: Aethalodelphis obliquidens (Pacific white-sided dolphin)
Lineage: Eukaryota; Metazoa; Chordata; Mammalia; Artiodactyla; Delphinidae
Exons: 3
Source: RefSeq, a predicted model, not a curated record